GAUGAACGCUGGCGGCGUGCCUAAUACAUGCAAGUCGAGCGAACAGACGAGGAGCUUGCUCCUCUGACGUUAGCGGCGGACGGGUGAGUAACACGUGGAUAACCUACCUAUAAGACUGGGAUAACUUCGGGAAACCGGAGCUAAUACCGGAUAAUAUAUUGAACCGCAUGGUUCAAUAGUGAAAGACGGUUUUGCUGUCACUUAUUGAUGGAUCCGCGCCGUAUUAGCUAGUUGGUAAGGUAACGGCUUACCAAGGCAACGAUGCGUAGCCGACCUGAGAGGGUGAUCGGCCACACUGGAACUGAGACACGGUCCAGACUCCUACGGGAGGCAGCAGUAGGGAAUCUUCCGCAAUGGGCGAAAGCCUGACGGAGCAACGCCGCGUGAGUGAUGAAGGUCUUCGGAUCGUAAAACUCUGUUAUUAGGGAAGAACAAAUGUGUAAGUAACUAUGCACGUCUUGACGGUACCUAAUCAGAAAGCCACGGCUAACUACGUG
Molecule: ribosomal RNA, 497 nt
Filed under: uncultured bacterium
Lineage: Bacteria
Description: partial 16S ribosomal RNA
Rfam family: Bacterial small subunit ribosomal RNA
Source: RNAcentral